Long non-coding RNA from Rhinichthys klamathensis goyatoka, 695 nucleotides. RefSeq lists it as uncharacterized. The transcript is spliced from 2 exons. Lineage: Eukaryota; Metazoa; Chordata; Actinopteri; Cypriniformes; Leuciscidae. The record is from RefSeq and is a predicted model, not a curated record.
CAGAAGUGAGUCAGUAAAGGUCUGACUGCGCCUGUUGUGAUGGUACACUUCUCACAAUAUGGUUCUAAAAAUGCUGUCAUUAGUGAUCAUCUUGAAUCUCGUACUCCACACCUGUCUGAGUGAGAUGGACAUCCUGCACCCGUCUCAGCCCUGCACUGAAGCAAAAAACAAGAAUGGUCACAACACUUUUCUUAAGCGGCACGUACGCAACGACACACCAACUGAUCUGAAAGUAGAGAACUGGAAGAAGUUCAUUAACAAAAUCGGCACCUGGGACAGGCCAGUUCAGUCAUUCUUUCCCUUCAGUGAAAAAAACAAUGUGACAGCUGUGUGUUCAUCAGGAGGAAAGAUGUAUAAGGGCAACCUCUGCAUCAGCAAGAAGUCUCUUUCCUUCAUCACUGUUAACAUUGACCGUAAGAAUAAAAUAGUCAAAAGUGUCAAACGUCAGAAACAGCAUGUUAUUCUUGCCUGUGAUAAAUUUAAAAACAAAUGUCUCCCUGAUCAUUUUCAGGUGAAUACAAAAAAAAUUAAACCAAAUAAUAACAAACCAGACUGCAGUAAACUAAAGCUCAAGUCUAUUUAUGAGGAGUAGGCUAAGUGUUUUUCCGACUCUAAUGUAUUGUAACUCUGACCUUUUUCUGUCGGUUGAUGAAAUUGUUGAUGAAAAAAUAAAGAAAUGUCAUAUAUAAAAACAA